Non-coding RNA from Geobacillus sp. BCO2, 73 nucleotides. Lineage: Bacteria; Bacillati; Bacillota; Bacilli; Caryophanales; Anoxybacillaceae. The record is from Rfam.
GGGGCCUUAGCUCAGCUGGGAGAGCGCCUGCUUUGCAAGCAGGAGGUCAUCGGUUCGAUCCCGAUAGGCUCCA